AUGCACGCUGGCGGCGUGCUUCACCCCUGCCAGUCGAACGGGAAACCUUUUAAUGAAGCUUCGGCAGAUUUAGCUGGUUUCUAGUGGCGGACGGGUGAGUAACGCGUGGGUAACCUGCCUUAUACAGGGGGAUAACAGUCAGAAAUGACUGCUAAUACCGCAUAAGCGCACAGGACCGCAUGGUCCGGUGUGAAAAACUCCGGUGGUAUAAGAUGGACCCGCGUUGGAUUAGCUUGUUGGUGGGGUAACGGCUCACCAAGGCGACGAUCCAUAGCCGGCCUGAGAGGGUGAACGGCCACAUUGGGACUGAGACACGGCCCAGACUCCUACGGGAGGCAGCAGUGGGGAAUAUUGCACAAUGGGGGAAACCCUGAUGCAGCGACGCCGCGUGAAGGAAGAAGUAUCUCGGUAUGUAAACUUCUAUCAGCAGGGAAGAUAGUGACGGUACCUGACUAAGAAGCCCCGGCUAACUACGUG
RNAcentral lists this ribosomal RNA (477 nucleotides) under uncultured bacterium. RNAcentral describes it as "partial 16S ribosomal RNA". It matches the Rfam family "Bacterial small subunit ribosomal RNA", at positions 29 to 507 of the family's 1533-position model. The record is from RNAcentral.